GGCGCUUGUGUGUGGUUUUGCUUAACUUAUGCACAAAGGCUUACAGACAGUGCAAAAAAUAAACCCUCUUCAGCAACCCCGAACUCAUUGUAUACUAUGAGUUCUGACACAUAUAAGAAGAAAUAUG
This 127-nucleotide small nucleolar RNA is filed under the name Castor canadensis (American beaver). RNAcentral's name for it is "Small nucleolar RNA SNORA40 (ENSCCNG00000028964.1)". It matches the Rfam family "Small nucleolar RNA SNORA40". Rfam says of the family: The snoRNA ACA 40 belongs to the H/ACA family of snoRNAs and guides the pseudouridylation of 28S rRNA subunit at position U4565. NB This family has a high threshold value to exclude a large number of closely related sequences that do not appear to have conserved H and ACA boxes, and may be pseudogenes. Lineage: Eukaryota; Metazoa; Chordata; Mammalia; Rodentia; Castoridae. The record is from Rfam by way of RNAcentral.